Molecule: unclassified non-coding RNA, 500 nt
Filed under: uncultured Glomus
Lineage: Eukaryota; Fungi; Glomeromycota; Glomeromycetes; Glomerales; Glomeraceae
Description: SSU rRNA
Rfam family: Eukaryotic small subunit ribosomal RNA
Source: RNAcentral
CCAAUAGCGUAUAUUAAAGUUGUUGCAGUUAAAAAGCUCGUAGUUGAAUUUCGGGAUCAGUAGGUCGGUCGUGUCACUGGUAUGAACUGGUCUCACUGGUUCCUCCCUCUUGACGAACUGCAAUGCUAUUAAUUUAGUGUUGUAGGAAAUCAGGACUGUUACUUUGAAAAAAUUAGAGUGUUUAAAGCAGGCUUUGGCUUGAAUACAUUAGCAUGGAAUAAUGAAAUAGGACGUUCGAUCCUAUUUUGUUGGCUUCUAGGAUUGACGUAAUGAUUAAUAGGGACAGUUGGGGGCAUUAGUAUUCAAUUGUCAGAGGUGAAAUUCUUGGAUUUAUUGAAGACUAACUACUGCGAAAGCAUUUGCCAAGGAUGUUUUCAUUAAUCAAGAACGAAAGUUAGGGGAUCGAAGACGAUCAGAUACCGUCGUAGUCUUAACCAUAAACUAUGCCGACUAGGGAUCGGAUGAUGUUAAUUUUUUAAUGACUCAUUCGGCGCCUUACG